UACGAAGGGGGCUAGCGUUGUUCGGAUUUACUGGGCGUAAAGCGCACGUAGGCGGUUUGUUAAGUCAGGGGUGAAAUCCCAGAGCUCAACUCUGAAACUGCCUUUGAUACUGGCAAGCUCGAGUCCGGAAGAGGUAAGUGGAACUCCUAGUGUAGAGGUGGAAUUCGUAGAUAUUAGGAAGAACACCAGUGGCGAAGGCGGCUUACUGGUCCGGAACUGACGCUGAGGUGCGAAAGCGUGGGGAGCAAACAGG
Molecule: ribosomal RNA, 253 nt
Filed under: uncultured bacterium
Lineage: Bacteria
Description: partial 16S ribosomal RNA
Rfam family: Bacterial small subunit ribosomal RNA
Source: RNAcentral